Molecule: ribosomal RNA, 1528 nt
Filed under: Shigella sonnei
Lineage: Bacteria; Pseudomonadati; Pseudomonadota; Gammaproteobacteria; Enterobacterales; Enterobacteriaceae
Description: partial 23S ribosomal RNA
Rfam family: Bacterial large subunit ribosomal RNA
Source: RNAcentral
GGAGCGUUCUGUAAGCCUGCGAAGGUGUGCUGUGAGGCAUGCUGGAGGUAUCAGAAGUGCGAAUGCUGACAUAAGUAACGAUAAAGCGGGUGAAAAGCCCGCUCGCCGGAAGACCAAGGGUUCCUGUCCAACGUUAAUCGGGGCAGGGUGAGUCGACCCCUAAGGCGAGGCCGAAAGGCGUAGUCGAUGGGAAACAGGUUAAUAUUCCUGUACUUGGUGUUACUGCGAAGGGGGGACGGAGAAGGCUAUGUUGGCCGGGCGACGGUUGUCCCGGUUUAAGCGUGUAGGCUGGUUUUCCAGGCAAAUCCGGAAAAUCAAGGCUGAGGCGUGAUGACGAGGCACUACGGUGCUGAAGCAACAAAUGCCCUGCUUCCAGGAAAAGCCUCUAAGCAUCAGGUAACAUCAAAUCGUACCCCAAACCGACACAGGUGGUCAGGUAGAGAAUACCAAGGCGCUUGAGAGAACUCGGGUGAAGGAACUAGGCAAAAUGGUGCCGUAACUUCGGGAGAAGGCACGCUGAUAUGUAGGUGAAGUCCCUUGCGGAUGGAGCUGAAAUCAGUCGAAGAUACCAGCUGGCUGCAACUGUUUAUUAAAAACACAGCACUGUGCAAACACGAAAGUGGACGUAUACGGUGUGACGCCUGCCCGGUGCCGGAAGGUUAAUUGAUGGGGUCAGCGCAAGCGAAGCUCUUGAUCGAAGCCCCGGUAAACGGCGGCCGUAACUAUAACGGUCCUAAGGUAGCGAAAUUCCUUGUCGGGUAAGUUCCGACCUGCACGAAUGGCGUAAUGAUGGCCAGGCUGUCUCCACCCGAGACUCAGUGAAAUUGAACUCGCUGUGAAGAUGCAGUGUACCCGCGGCAAGACGGAAAGACCCCGUGAACCUUUACUAUAGCUUGACACUGAACAUUGAGCCUUGAUGUGUAGGAUAGGUGGGAGGCUUUGAAGUGUGGACGCCAGUCUGCAUGGAGCCGGCCUUGAAAUACCACCCUUUAAUGUUUGAUGUUCUAACGUGGACCCGUGAUCCGGGUUGCGGACAGUGUCUGGUGGGUAGUUUGACUGGGGCGGUCUCCUCCUAAAGAGUAACGGAGGAGCACGAAGGUUGGCUAAUCCUGGUCGGACAUCAGGAGGUUAGUGCAAUGGCAUAAGCCAGCUUGACUGCGAGCGUGACGGCGCGAGCAGGUGCGAAAGCAGGUCAUAGUGAUCCGGUGGUUCUGAAUGGAAGGGCCAUCGCUCAACGGAUAAAAGGUACUCCGGGGAUAACAGGCUGAUACCGCCCAAGAGUUCAUAUCGACGGCGGUGUUUGGCACCUCGAUGUCGGCUCAUCACAUCCUGGGGCUGAAGUAGGUCCCAAGGGUAUGGCUGUUCGCCAUUUAAAGUGGUACGCGAGCUGGGUUUAGAACGUCGUGAGACAGUUCGGUCCCUAUCUGCCGUGGGCGCUGGAGAACUGAGGGGGGCUGCUCCUAGUACGAGAGGACCGGAGUGGACGCAUCACUGGUGUUCGGGUUGUCAUGCCAAUGGCACUGCCCGG